GAGCGGUUAGCUCAGUUGGUAGAGCACUACCUCGACACGGUAAGGGUCAUUGGUUCGAGCCCAAUACCGCGCACCA
This 76-nucleotide transfer RNA is filed under the name Opitutia bacterium TMED102. Its description in RNAcentral is "Opitutae bacterium TMED102 tRNA-Val". It matches the Rfam family "tRNA". Rfam says of the family: Transfer RNA (tRNA) molecules are approximately 80 nucleotides in length. Their secondary structure includes four short double-helical elements and three loops (D, anti-codon, and T loops). The record is from RNAcentral. Lineage: Bacteria; Pseudomonadati; Verrucomicrobiota; Opitutia.